GCCACUUUAGCUCAGCUGGUAGAGCAACUGACUUGUAAUCAGUAGGUCAUCCGUUCGAAUCGGAUAAGUGGCUCCA
Molecule: transfer RNA, 76 nt
Filed under: Clostridia bacterium
Lineage: Bacteria; Bacillati; Bacillota; Clostridia
Description: tRNA-Thr
Rfam family: tRNA
About the family: Transfer RNA (tRNA) molecules are approximately 80 nucleotides in length. Their secondary structure includes four short double-helical elements and three loops (D, anti-codon, and T loops).
Source: RNAcentral